AUAGGGACAUUGUUUUCUCCAUUCAGAGUCCCCACAUCCCAUCACUGUGAUCAAAAAACCAAAACCAAAAACUAGGGAAAGGCACUGCAGGGCUGGAUGUGGCACGGCCUUUCUGCCUCAAAGACAC
Molecule: long non-coding RNA, 127 nt
Organism: Lontra canadensis (Northern American river otter)
Lineage: Eukaryota; Metazoa; Chordata; Mammalia; Carnivora; Mustelidae
Exons: 3
Source: RefSeq, a predicted model, not a curated record